Molecule: long non-coding RNA, 2848 nt
Filed under: Pelobates cultripes (western spadefoot toad)
Lineage: Eukaryota; Metazoa; Chordata; Amphibia; Anura; Pelobatidae
Source: RNAcentral
UUCCUGACCCUUCUACUUUACGUUUGUGCUCCUUCUGCCCCUUCCAGCUCAUUGCUGAUCCUUUCUGCUUGAUGUCCAUUCCUGCUCAUUUUUUGUUCCUUCACCUUCUUUACCUUUGUGCUCCUUCUGUCCCUUCCUGCUCCUUGCUGCCCUUUCCAGCUCCUUGCUGACCCUUUCUGCUCCUUACACUUUACCUUUGUGCUGCUUUAACCUCCAGCUCCUUGCUGCUUCUUGCUGACCCUUCCUGCUCCCUGCUGAUCCUUGCUUGUCCUUGCUGACCCUUCCUGCUCCUUGCAGCCCCUUCCUGCUCAUUUCUGUUCCUUUGUGAUCCUUCUGCUACUUUACCUUUUGUGCUCAUUGCUGUUCCUUCCAGCUCCUUGCUGCUCCUUUCUGCUCCUUGCUGACCCUUCCUGUAGGCUGUCUCCCUCAUCCCUCACUUACCUGAUCUAUAGGCAGUCUCCCCCCUCACUUCCCUGAUCUGCAGUCUCUCCAUCCCAUCCCCCUCCCUCACUUCCCUGGUCUAUAGGCUCUCUCUCCCCCUCCCUCACUUCCCUGAUCUAUAGGCUCUCUCUCCCCAUGCCUCACUUCCCUGAUCUAUAGGCUCUCUCUUCCCAUGCCUCACUUCCCUGAUCUAUAGGCUCUCUCUCCCCAUGCCUCACUUCCCUGAUCGAUAGGCUCUCUCUCCCCUUCCCUCACAUCCCUGAUCUAUAGGCUCUCUCUUCCCCUCCCUCACUUCCCUGAUCUUUAGGCUCUCUCUCCCCCUCCCUCACUUCCCUGAUCUUUAGGCUCCCUCACUUCCCUGAUCUAUAGGCUCUCUCUCCCACCUCCCUCAUUUCCCUGAUCUAUAGGCUCUCUCUCCCCCUCCCUCACUUACCUGAUCUGUAGGCUGCCCCCAUGCCUCACUUCCCUAAUCUAUAGGCUGCCCCCCCAUCCCUCACUUACCUGAUCUGUAGGCUGUCUCUCGCUGCAUGUUCUGCUCCUCUGCGGAUUCAGUCAGGAGAGAAGCAGGGAUAAGAUGUAGCUUCCUAUCCCUGUUUCUCUACAUACACAUACACCGGCGUUGGUAUUGCACUGUACUUUCAAUCUCACACGAAAAAUAGCAAAACAAGCUGAAAAAUCCAGGGGAGGGGGGCAAGUACCCCCCCUUUCACCCACCUGCGGAUGCCCAUGUGUGCAACUAUACCCCGAAGUCGUGUAUAAAUGUUUAGCAUUAUUGCAAAUUCAUUUUGUUUGCAAAUUAUGCCAUAACUACAGUCUGAGAGCUCACAACACAGUGCCAUAGGGAGCAGCAACAAUACAAGCCUUUGAACAAUGAAUACAGAGACUAGCUCUCUGUAUCCAGCACGGCAAAUCUGCCCUUCAAUAUAUCUACAGCUCCUUAUACACACACAACCACUAUUUAUUUUUAGUGGGGGCCUCAUGUUUGAGUUUUGCCUAAUAAUUUAAUAAAAUCUUAUAGCACAAAUUAUUUACUUUACAAACUCCUAUUUUAUGUUCUGAUAAUUUAAUUUUAAAGCAUUUAUAUGUGAUUCUAAUUUUAUGCCCACAUUACAGGCUUGGAGUAUGUUUACAGGCUAUUUUCACUUUGAAAUUCACUUUGAAUGAUCAACAAUUCACACACUAUUGAAUAAUCCUAUUCAAGGAAAGAAAUAGUGAUGAAAAUAUUUCUCAAUAUAAUCUGCAAGAUAUUUUCUUCAAUUCACAUGCCAGAAGGAGGUGCCCAUAGGAACUGCAACUGCAUAUGAAUUCUACACAAACAGGCUUAUUGACUAAACUCCAAAUUUUCGUGAGUUAAGUAUAUAUGGAAAAGGUGAAGCAAAUAAUAACAGGUUGUGGCUUAUUGUAGCUGAGUAGAAUAAUUUUUCCAGAUCAGCAAUUUGCCUCAAUUUUUGAUUUAAUUUGUGUAGAAGUUAAAGCUGGUUUAAAAACAUCUAAAAAGAUCUGAAUAGCAUGGAAAAGUCUCUAGUUAUUAACAAUAUUGUAGCACAAUUCUAUCAAAUUGCUGCAAUAUAUGCCAAAUGACAAUUGUGUAAAACGUAUCAUUUUUUUCUCCCUUGUGACAUAAUUUACUGUUAAAGUAGCUAGUUGUUAUAUACAAUGUAUAAAAGUAUACUAAAUGUGAAAAUCAUACUCCUGCAGAACAGAUAUGUAAAUAUGUAAUAAUUGCAUACUUUGCAGGAGUGAGCGACACACCCAUUGGUAGCUGUGGUUUAAAAAUGCACAGAAUGGGCACCAUUCUGGAAAAGAAUCAGAUCCAGAUGUGUGAGGCCUUUACUUCCCCACUCCGCCCCAGGGAUCACUUUCAGCACAACUAUGAAAAGCCAACUCUGAUUAACUGUAUCACUACUGAACUCCUACUCAACGCAGAAGGAAACAUCUGGGGAGGAGGGGAUGCUUUCAUAAGAAUCCCAUACUCACUUAGGGAGCAUACAUUAAACAAGCUAUUUUUGACAAAAUUAUAUAUUAUGACGUGAUCACACACACACACCUUUACACCUGUGCUCUGGCUAAAAUUAAUUCAUUCAUAAAACGUGCAAACCACAAUUCCCCCGAGUAAUAAGAGCUCAAGGACGCCCCUCCUGGUGCAAGGAUUUUUGUCUGCAAAGGCGUUGAUGCUUUGCUCAGACAACCCCCAUCUUUAACCCCAUUCAGGACCGGACUGUUUUUGCAAUGUUGUACGUUAAGGACCAGAGCUAUUUUAACACUUUUGUGGUGUUUGUGUUUAACUGUAAUUUUCCGCUCUCUCAUUUACUGUUCCAAUACAAAUUAUAUAUUGUUUUUUUCAAGACAAAAGGGGCUUUCUUUACCUAUUAUUAUUUUUAUCAUGUCAUUAAUUUUUAAAAAAUAA